Molecule: long non-coding RNA, 13483 nt
Organism: Mirounga angustirostris (Northern elephant seal)
Lineage: Eukaryota; Metazoa; Chordata; Mammalia; Carnivora; Phocidae
Exons: 3
Source: RefSeq, a predicted model, not a curated record
AAUGCGGGCCGCGGGGUCCCGGGGCAGUGGGGCCCCCCUUCCCCCACCCUGGUCGCCCCCGAAGCUCCUAGAGGUGCCUGCGCUGCAGCAGCUCCGCCAGGGCUACACGGGGCGGACUCUUGGCGCUCCAAAGCUGCGGGGAGCGCCGGGACGAACUCUGGGUCCGGCACCCACCUGGGACAGCCACACGCUGGGAACAGGGCAGCCGCACCUCCCACCGUCCCAAGCCACGGACUUGUUUCCGCCCCUGAUCAAUUAAUUUUGGCCACACACAGACCAACCCCCUCCCCGAGCCCCAGUCGUCGGUCUGGCAGGAUGCGGGGGACGGGACACUCCUCCCCCAGCUCUGAAGGCCGCGAGCAAGGUGUGCCCGGAGUUAAAAAGCAAACCCCAACAGGUGCUGCGGGGGCGGGGGGGGGGGGGGGCGGCGGCUCACAACGCCUCCGGUUUCCCUAGGGAGAAGGUGCACUCCUAGGGGUGAAAGCAUCGAACUCCUUGAACUUCGUCCCUCAAAAAGCAUCGCCUGGUGCCCUGAGCAAUAUGAAACCCCCAAAUUCGCUAGGAAUUCCCUGGCCUCUUGACUCAGGCCCCUGGCCCGUCUUUAGCCAAGUGAGGCGGAGUGGGCACCCAGACUGAGCACGUAACCACCUCCAACCGAAGCAAAGAAAUCGGUUGGGGGGCGGGGGUAAUGACCUAGGAGGCCAAGUCCCAUCCGCUUCUCCCUCCGCCAAGCUGGGCUGCGGCCUACCCGGGGCGGAGCACCCCUGCGGAGACUCGCGCGGGGGGGGGCAGGGGGAGGGGCUCGGUACCCAGCCGGCCUGCUCGCUGGAGCGGGACCUUCCCGGAGGAGGACCCGUGCUAAGACCUGUGGGCUCCCGCAGUGUUCUCCGCCCCCCUCCCGGGACCCUGCACAAUGGCAGUGGGGAAACAGGACUCCGGUGAAUGACCACAGCUCCAUCUCCUCCUGUUCAACUCUGCAGAACGACUUCAAGAAGAAGUGGAAAAAGCCUGCUUAGCUACCUGGCCAAUGAGAGAGGACUUAGCCUCAAAGGAUUCUUCGUAAAUACAGCUGAAUUGGGGUGUGGCCAGGAAUCCUGACGGGUUCCGGCUCCUGGCUGAUAACUUCACGGGGCAGGUGUGGAGAGAGAACCAUCUGAUAAGGGAUCCACCAUAAACAGCUUUUAAAAUGAAGCAAAUCCACCGUGCCUAUUACAGACCCCUCCCUUUGGAAGCUACAUCUUUUGCCUCAGACUUCAGUCCCAGCCCAUGUGCCCUAGCAGGAAGGAACACAGUGAUGAGCCAGAAGGACAGAGGAGCAUGGCUCUGUCCUCUGCUGUGACAGACAAUCUUUUAUGCUUCAGGCAUUGACCCUGUGUCAGGCAUUGUCUGUGGCCCUGGGGAGACACAGGUAUGAAGGGUAACGAGAAUACAAUCACAGUGAGGACAAAAGUCAGCGUUCCUUUCCUGGUACUGGCUCUGCAGAAAAGCACGUUACAGACACUCUGAAGGAGGAGGCAGGUGCUAUGGGCACCCCAACUUGUAGAUGAGUAAAGCAGGCACGGAGAGGUCGAGCCCACACCCAUAUUCCACGCCAGACCACCUCCCAAGACAACCAGUCCGUGGGCACGUCCUCCCAAGUCUGAGCGCAGUGAUGCUGUGGAGAAUAGAAAUCAGCGGCUGCCAAGAUGGGGGACAGACUGUGAGACAAUGGGAAGCAGACUCAAUCAGAGAAGACUGUGGGUCCCGAAGGAUGAGCUGGAUUUUGGCAGGAAGAGGAGGAAGGGGGUAGAAAGAGGGUGGACUUCCAGGGUAUGGACCAGCCUGUGGGAAAGAGCAGAGCCAUCGAGAGGACAAACGACAUCCAGGGCCAGUGAGGAGGGUCAGUGAAGCUGACCUCAGGGGAGAGUGUACAGAGGCUGGGGGCCGCUCUGUGAAGAGUUUUGUAGGGCUAGCCUAUAUGGAGUUUGGCUUCAGUGUCUCAGCGUGGGAAACACUACAGUCAAUUGAGCAGAAAAAGGCUUGAUUAGAUUCAUGAUUUCGAAAGCCCAUGAUGACCACAGCCAGGAGGGAAAAGCCAGGGGGUACUCAGUGUUCCGCACAUAGCUCACCACCUAGGACCCCAUUUGGAAAAGUCUGAGACAGGUGGAGAUAUUGGUGCAAGGUGACAACCUGACUAGCCCAAGGGGGUACACGUUUGCUGAAUGAAGAAGGCUUAGAGCAGAAUUGUCACACUAUUUACAGAUGUGUGGCCCCCAUAGGCUCCCGCGAAUGGUGAUAACAAAGGUUGGCUGUGUAGCCCAGCUUCUGUCAAUGAGGAACGCUACCGUGGGUCUCAUCUGCCUUAUAACUUUGGACGUUUGCCUAUGAACAUGAUUUUUAAGGCUAAAACCUGCUGUCAUGAUUAUCAGAGUACUUGCUAAUACAUCACCCUGAUUGCUGCAAGGGAAGGUUUAUCACUGUUAAACUGAGCAGAUGUUGUUCUAUGUGUCUAGGCAAAAAGCAUCUGCCAUAAGCUUUGGCUCAUGGCUCCCUUUUGCCUCAUUCGCCACCUUCAUUUUACGUCUGUAGGUUUAUGUUAAAAUUACAAGGUGCUUAAUGUGUGACUCAGAAGAACCAAACUUUACAUGGGUUGUGAUAGCAUGAGUUGGCGGGGGGUGAGUUAGCUAAAUGGUACAAGGUAACAUCUAGAGCUAAUUCUCUUCCCACUUCUAGUAAAAUGCCCCCAGGGACACUGAAAACACCAAAAUUUAUGACACCACAGAAACAGCGAGAGGUGGCCUAACAUCAAAACUGGGAAAGAACAGACGGAACUCACCCCAGCAGAGCAGAGAGUAGGAUUCUAGGUAAAGCUCUGCCCAAGGAAACUGGGGAUCAGAUUGGAAUCAAGCACUUAACUUGCUUUCCUGUUGGGAUCUUGGAAAGGAAACCCAACCAGCGUGACUGAUUUGCCAAAUUGUUUAAAAACAUGGCACUGAACAAAUCUUGCUUUGUUCAGGGAUUUAAAAAGCAAGCAAACAAACAAGCAAAAAAGAAUAAACUCACCGAUGUGGGACAAGACAGGAGAAGUAGAGUAGUAUCCAGAAGAUGAAGCCUUCUGAAAAUGAUCUACUACAGAAUCCAGAGGGGAGAAAAGUCAGGAAACUGAUCGGCAUUGACAAAGCAGCAGGAGAUAAUGGCCAACUAUCAGAUUGAACACUGUAAUAAAUUUCCACGUUUGUAAGUCCCAAACUGAAGACUAUAGGCAAUUUCAUAGGAUUCAACUUAGUAUAGAUUCUACACACCAAGACGAAGACACAAUGAAUGAUAAGAAGCACAUGCACACAAUAAUAGAACAAGGAGACAAACAGGACUGAAUAUCUUACCUAUAAUAAUAAAUGUAAAUGAAAUAGAUUCUUUUAUUAGGAAGACUCUAAAAUUGAACAAAGAAUUCAAAUAUCAAAUAUGUGCCAUUUCUUUCCAAAAGGUAAAAAAUAAUAACUGAAUAGGUGAGUAUAUCCAAAGAAGAUGCAAACAAAAAUAAAGUAGGAGUCACGAUAAUAAUAUUGCCUCAAGUAAAAUUCAACAGCAAAGCACAGCAGAACAAAGAAAGCACUUUUAUUUUGAUAAAUAGUACAAAUUGCAAUAAAGACAUACUGACUUGAGCCUUUUGGUGAUAGGUAAUUAUGCCCUAAAAAAUAUAAUACAGGGCGCCUGGGUGGCUCAGUUGGUUAAGCGACUGCCUUCGGCUCAGGUCAUGAUCCUGAAGUCCCGGGAUUGAGUCCCGCAUCGGGCUCCCUGCUCAGCAGGGGGUCUGCUUCUCCCUCUGCCCUCUUCCCUCUCGUGCUCUCUGUCUCUCAUUCUCUCUCUCUCAAACAAAUAAAUAAAAUCUUAAAAAAAAAAUGUAAUGCAAAAUUGCUGGAAAUGUAAAGGCAGAAACCCACCAAGGCCCAACAUCUCUUUCCCAUAUUUGGAACACCCAAAGCUCUGAAAGGCAAAACUUCAUCAGCCUGAUGCCCAUCAGGCAGCCAAACGGGAUCUGAAUUGAUGGGAGGGCAUUGUAGCGCUGUCACUUAGUGCUAAUAUUUGUGCAUUUCACUGAAAAAGAGCAAUUUUCUGUGUAAGUUUUAUGUAAAAUACCAAAUGUUACCCUUCAUAAAACUAAAACAUUCUGAAUUCUGAAUCAUUGUCUACUAGUGGAUACGGUUUGUGGGCCCGUAGUAAGGAAAUCUAUGGAAUAGGCAAAAAAUAGAGCAUACAAUAUGAUUAUAAUUAAUAAACAUUUUUUAGAUAUGUGUGAGUGUACAGACCAGCCACAAGCAAAUUCCAUAUCCUACACAUAGAGAAGGAACAUUUCCCAGCUCUUAGGUCAUAUUUACGUAAGUCAUAUGCCAUGAUUACAAAGCAGUACAACCAGAAAUUUAUAAUCCAAGCACGUGGUCUUAAAAAACACACUUCUAAUUUUACUCGCAAAAAGAAUUAAAAAAUAAAAAUGAGGGGGCGCCUGGGUGGCUCAGUCGUUAAGCGUCUGCCUUCGGCUCAGGUCACGAUCCCAGGGUCCUGGGAUCGAGCCCUGCAUCGGGCUCCCUGCUCGGCAGGAGGCCUGCUUCUCCCUCUCCCAUUCCCCCUGCUUGUGCUCCCUCUCUCGCUGUGUCUCUCUCUGUCAAAUAAAUAAAUAAAAUCUUUAAAAAAAAUAAAUAAAAAUGAGAACACUCUUCUAAAUUAGGGCAAAGCAGAAGUAAAAACUGAAAUUACAGACAUAUUGACAUUUGUGGGAUGAGGUCAAGGUUGCUUUCCGAGACAGAUUAAAUGCUUUCAUUAUGAAGGUAUACAGAGAGGAAACAACUGAGGAUGGGCAUGGGGGCUGGCCACAGGGCCUGCGGUCCUUCACACAGUUCUCGCGAAGGCUGUGUAGGACUCAUUACUGAGAAGUUGCUUGUGUUCUCUGGGUGCUCGUGAGAUGCCGGCUGCUGCCUAAAAAAAUGGGAAUGACCCAGUGAUUGAAUGAAGACAAGGUUGACAACCUGAAAAGUCAAUCACCCAGAGGAGAAACUGAAAAAUUAUUAAAGAAAUAUCCUCCAGGAGUUCCAUCAAACCCUCCAGUAACCCCACAUCUCUAUGCAAUUUAGACUACUCUUCCCAGUAAAAAUAAAGAUGGACAGUCUUCCUAUUUGCACAAAGCAAAGCUACAGAUAUACCUAAGUUAUAAAUAUAGAUUUAUAAAGAUUUCAAAUAAAAUAAUGGCAAAUCAAUUUCAAUCAUAUUUUUAAAAGCAUAUAGCAUAACCUGUUAGGUUUAUUCAGAGAAGGGUGGGGCUCAACAUUAGAAAAUCUGCUAACAUAAUUCUCCACAUUACUAGGUCAAAAGGAGGAAAAGUCUAUGAUCAUCUGGAUAAUUAAGUCUGGGACAGGCUAGAAUGCUCCAUUAUUGCUAUUACUCAUCAAUAUUGUUCCAAAAGUCCCCACAGAGGUAUAGUUUCAGUAUGGAGAAGACAACACACAUGUAUGAUGGUCUGUCUACAAAUCCUGAAGUAGUCACAAAGAAAUGAGUGUAGGAGAAUUCAGAAGGUGGCUAGUUAGAAACUAAUUCUACAAAAAUCAAUAGCUUUCUUAUAGACCAGUGAUGCUCAGGAGGAACCAUCAUAACAAGUGCAGACCUUACUCACGACAGCAACCCAGUUUUUAAAAUCUCUAGUAAUAAACAAGGAAUGUGCAGAAAGGACACUUAUAUAAAUAAGAAGAGAACUAUAAAACUUUACUGAGGGACAUAGAAGGUUGGAGUAACAGACCACUUUUCUAUUAAUGGACAGACUAUCUAUGACUUUACAGAAGUCAAGUGUCUGCCCGAAGAAUCUAUGUGUUUAACACAAGCCAAAUAAAAUCCCAGUAGGAUUUUAGGAUGAGGCUGACAAAGAGAAUCUAAAAGUUAUCCAGAAACAUAAAUGUUCGAGAAAAGUGAAGGAAGCAUUAAUGAAGGCUAUUGCAAUGCAGGUGUAGAGAUAGCGUGUGGUACGAUAAUGGGAACAGACGUACAAAUUAAUGGGAUGAAAGAGAAAAUUCAGCAACGGACCCCCAAUAAGUAGAAUAUAGUUUGUGUUUCAAAUCAAUGGGGAGUAUAUGGGAAAAAUAUAAACGUAGAUCCAUACUCAUCCCCUACUCAAAAAUAAGUUCCAGAUGACUAAAAAUAAUUAAAUGAGAAAACAAAGAAACAAAAACCCAAACCAUGAAAGCUAUACAGGAAAGUGGAGGUGCAUAUGUUAAGGAAUCUUGGGGGGAGACAUUUCCUAACUGACGGUACAACGGUCCUUGCAUCUGUCUGGCCCUCAGCAGAGAGACGUGUAGCUACUCUUCCUGUCAUCUUAGUCUGACGCUUCGCCGUGCCCCAGCCCAGAUCCGCGCUCCUGAUCUAGUCUGUAGUUAUCUUUCAUCUCAUUGUGGUGGGCAGUUUAAGGGACUAGGUUUGUGUAACAUGGAAUGGUGAUUGCUGCCUCCCCUGCAGACUGGGAGCCUCACAAAGGCGGGGCACCCAAAGGCGGCAUGCAGCAGAUGCUCGACAAAAACUUAGUUAAAUUAUUAAGUUAAAAAAAACUAACAUGUAAGCUUAAUCACAAUUGAUUACAACUAAUCACAAUUCAUGAUACAGACAUUCAAUUAAUAAAGUAGUAUAUACAACAUGAUCCCCUCUCCCCCCCUUUUUAGCAUGGAGCCUAAUGUGGGGCUUGAACUCACCACCCUGAGAUCAAGACCUGAGUUGAGAUCAAGCAUCAGAAGCUCAACGGACUGAGCUACCCAGACACCCCCAACAUGAUCCCUUUUUAAAACAUUAAAAACAUGUCUGUGCAUGCUCAGAAAUAAGCCUGCAAUCACAGGCAAGAGUUGAUGAUGCUGGUGUAGUCUUCGCUCUAGUCUCUAACUGUUCUAGAGUCAACUUACAUUGGUCUUGUAAGAAGAAAGUUGUCCUUUUUUUUUUUUUUUUUUUUUUUUUAGUUAGCUAAAAAUAUAAGCCACUAUGCAAUGGAGCCACUGGAAAACAUAUGUCCACGGCAAUACGUGCCCUAGACCCACUGUGGCCCCUUCCCGAUUUCCGUCUAUCCUUACUUGUCACCAAGCAUGGCUUAAGCCAGUUGAGGUCUUGUCCUCACACUGCCAAUGGCACCUUUCCAGCUCACUGUGAACCAUGGCCGUUGGCCAGAUGCCACCCGGACUAGCACGGAUUCACGACCUGCAGUCAGCAGAGCGUCAACAGCCCGGCUGUCAGGCUGACCCCAGGGACAGGGAGCUAGUCCUGCCACAGUGAGUGCCGGGUCCUAUUCCUGGUGGGGAAGGUUCCCCCUCCCAUCUCCCCAGCAGGUAACGCGACUGUUAGUCCUCUGCUUUGCAACCCCUGCAACACCAAUUACGGCAACCAACUUGGUCCCCCGUGGAUGGACGACGGAGCUACUGUUCAUGCUCUUCUUCCAGGAAGACCCACGUUGCUUUCCAGAGUCUAAACGAACUUCAGUACAGUGAAUUCUACAAUCCUGCUUGCAACGACCACCAACUUUUACAACCUGCCAUUUUUAGGACUGCUUAUCUUAAAUUCUCUACUUAUACCCCCCAAACGUCGAAAAAUAAUGAAAACGAAAGACAUUUUGUAACAAAGCUUAGUGUUAUUUCAUCGUAGGUGCCUAUCUGAAACACGGCUUUCCAAUAUGGGUAAGCCGCCUUGAUUUAGGUAUGCCUAAUGCCUGUUUUUAAUGGGAAGGAAAACAAAUGAAGGGAGUGUCGUGUAAUUAAGUGAAGCAGUGAAAUAUUCCGAGGGGACAUUCGACUAUAUCCCUGUAUCUCUUGUCUCCCCCAGAUUCACAUUCAAGCCACGUGUCUAGGUGUCCUGGGACACAAACCAACAGAAAUGUACUUACACUUCUGGAGAGGAGAAGUCUGAAAUCAAGGUGUGGGCAGGGCUAUGUUCUUCCUGCAGGCUCUGGGUGAGGGUCCUUCCUGCCUCCCCCGGCUUCUGGAGAGCCUGCUGAGUGGCGAGCCCGAUGCAGGGCUCGAUUCCAGGACCCUGGAAUCAUGACCUGAGCCAAGGGCAGACGCUCAACUAACUGAGCCACCCAGGCGUCCCACAUAUAUUUAAAAUUACAUGUGACAUAAAAUGUCUUGAUGCAGAAAUACAUUGCUCUUUGUUAGUCUCACAUCUUAUGACUUAUUUUGUUGCAACUCGUCCCGUGUUUUCCAGAGCGUGUCCCCCUCCCCUGUCUGGGUGGACAGCUCCCGUGGGCCACUCAAGGGGCCAUUCACGCCAACGCAGGAUGGACACUUUCUCACUCCUCUUGUGGGGCUAGAGCAUGAGGUCAGUCCCAGGGGGAGUUCUGAAUACGUGCUAAACGCCCUUGCCUUCUCUGGAUGGCGGCCACCACAGGUGUGGAGAGUCCCUGGAGACUGGGGUUGUGUUUGCUCGCGUGCCUCUCCAGAUAGGAAAGAAGUAGUCUGACUGCAUGUCUUAAAAAGUCCAGAAUAAUGUCUUAUGCAGCACAGAAGUUUCUCUUCCUCCUAAAAGAAGCCUGGAGGUAAGCAGGCCGUGGCUGCUACGGGGCUUCACCAGAAACCCCGUUCCUUCUUUAGUCCAUCUGCUCUACCAGCCUAGCACACAGUUUCCAGCCUCAGAGACACCUCGGGGUCCAGACUGGCUGCGGGAGCUCAGCCAUCCCAUGCGAGUUCCAGGCAACAGAGAGAGGAAGGGCGGAGGGCGGGAAGAGCACACCUCCCAGCUGAGCCAGCUCCCUUUCAGGAGUGUCCCCGGAAUCCCGUGCUGCCCUUCUGAGUGAUUCUUCCCAAAGCAUUAGCAAAUGAUAGAACCUGGGUCGGCAACUGAGAUCUUCACUCCAGUAUUUCUUCAGACUCUGCUGCUUGGCUAAGUUAGUAAUGACAAUGAUUGAACCUCACCGAAGAAGAUACACGGAUGGCAAGUAAACGUGUGAAAAGGUGCUCCACAUCACACGUUAUCAGGGAAUUGCAAACUAAAACAACGAGACACCACUGCAUACCUAUUAAAAUGGCCCAAACCCAAACACGGCCAACACAUGAGGAUACACCGUCUUGGGAACUCUCACUCACGUGGGCGGGAAGGCAACGAGGGGCAGCCACCUUGGAAGACGGUUUGGCAGUUUCUUACAAAACUAAACAUACUUUGACCAGACCACCUAGCAACUGUGCGCUUUGAUAUUUCCCCAAAGGAGUCGAAAAUGUAUGUUGACACCAACCUGCACACAGAUGUUCAUAGCAGCUUUCUUCGUAACUGCCCCAACUUGGGAGCAACCAAGAUGUCCCUCAGCAGGUGGAUGGAUAAACGAGCUGUGGUCCAUCCAGACAGUGGGCUAGAGCUCAGCGCUAAAAAGAAAGGAGCUCUCGAGCUACGAAAAGACGUGGGGGAAGCUUAAAUGUGUUUUACUAAGUGAGAGAAGCCAAUCUGAAGGGCUACGUAUUGAGUGAUUCCAACCGUGUAGGACAUUCUGGAAAAGGCAAAACUACGGAGACAGUAGGAAGAUGAGGGACUGCCAGAGGUUAGGGGCAAGGAGGGUUGAACGGGCAGAGCCAGAGGAUUUUGGGGGGCGGUGAAAAUACUCUGCGGUGCUGGACGCUUGGCAUUAUACACCCGUCCUAUCUCAGAAUGUGCGACAGCAAGGUGGACCCGAAGGUAAACUGUGGCCUCUGGGUGAAGAUGUCAAGUCGAUGUAGGGUCCCGAGUUGUCACGACCAUAGCACACUGAUGCAGGAUGUCAGGAACAGGGGACCUGGGGAGGGGGAGGGGGCGAGAGGCCCACCGUGGGAGAGACUCUGCAAGGACUCGACGGGGUGAGCCGGCCUUACCGUGGGCGGCCGAGGGGCUGCGGAGGCUCCGAGCACAGAUCUAAAGGAGGCUGCCAGCCCUGAGGGGGAGGCGGUUGCCAGGCUGGGUGGGCACCCCACUCUGAUGGAAAACGAGGUGCGAUCAUAGAGUCAUGGGGGUUUCUAGCGGGGCUGACCAAUCCUAAGAGAGGUGCUCAGACUGUUCCGAGCCAAGUCUGGCAUUGAGGGGCCUUGAAGGGACCUCUCUGCAGAGACGUUUUAGCGAACUUAACCCAGGGCCGUGUCUUUCCUGCGGCUCUGAGCCUUAUUCCCAGUGACCCCUGUCUUCUGAGACUCUGCAACUGUCCCAGCCAGCGGGAGGAGUGGGCCGGGCGCUGCUCUGUGGGCAGAGACUGGAUCUGGGCCGCUCUGGGCUCAGCGGCAACACCAGCCAGCCCACCCGGUGGGCAGCCCAGGCCUGGCAGGGGACAGAGUCGGGCCACUGCCACCAGCCCCCGCACUGCCCCAAGGCCCCAGUCCGAGGCCUGCUCAGCCUUGCAUCUGAAUCUUGCCCUGCAUCCUCCUGCCUGGAGCGUGGGGCCACGCACACCGCCCAUUCCGGCCUGCAGAGGGGAAGCAAAUCCAGGACCCCCCACCCCCCCACCCCUGGGGCUCCGAGCGGGCCUGCAGCCAGCUCAUCACCGGCUAGAGGGCAUGUAUAGCUGGAGGGGGCCCUGGAGCCCUUCUGCCCAGGCCUUCCUUUGCUGACGAGGUCCCUGCCGGGUGACUCGCCCAGGGUGAUGCAUCCAGAAGAGGUAGCCGGCUCAGCCGUCCUCACGGUUGGUCACUGUCCCCCCAGAGCCUCCCACACUGGCCUGGGGCCACCCGCUGGGGUGAAACUAUGCUGCCAUGUACAAAGGCAGGUGACCUCUUCCGCCUCCUGGGUGCCUGAAGCCCAGGACUGAGAGCCUAACCCCCCGUGAGUCAGUAUCUCCUGCCCGCUAACGCCUAGGGCGCCCUCAUAAAUUCCUUCCUUCUCCCUCUGGCCUGAGAACCCUCGGGGCGGUGCUGGAGUCCAUCCCACAUACCGCAGAGAACUUCCAGCAGUGAGGGGGAUGAGCAUGGAGCAGAAGCCGGCUGGAGAAGGAGAGAGACGGAGAGAGACAGGGAGACACACAGAGACAAAGAGGCAGAGAGACAGAGAGAGCGAAAGAAGCGCGAAGUCUUAGGACUUUGGGAGAGAAAGUGCCGAACCCUGGCCCCCACCAGGCAGUGGGUUUGGAGGUGGUACCUCCACUGUCCAUGUAACCAGCCCCCCCAGGGGAUACAGACACACGCAAGCUCUGUCCCUGAUCUCACCCAGCUUUCCCUCUGGCUGAGGUCACGUAAAGAUAACGCAGAGCAAUGAACAGACAAUGGCCACCCCACCCCGUGGCGAUGCCCCCAACAGCCAAGGCCCCAGCGGAGAAGGAAGACCCCGAGCUGGUGGAGGAGGCAAUGAGCUCGUGCCCGCCGUCUGGAGCCGAGGUCAGCGGGAGUUUUCCUAGCUCUAGUCUUCGAAUUUGCAAGAUAUGUUGCCUCUAAGUCCAUGGGCCUUGUUUCCAGCGCCCAUGUUCUCCCCAGGGUGCCCUGAGAACCUCUCACCAAUCACACCCCCCAGGGCCAUGGGGGGCCCCAUGCCACGAACUCAGCCAGCCAGCAGGCCGCACCCGGACAGGUGACACUGCAUUCCGAAGCCUUCCUCCAAGUGCAAAGGUCAGCACAGUCAGGACCCAGAACUUGGCAGUCUGGCCCUCCGGACAGAGAGCUGGCUCGUGGCGGAACGAAGACAGAGCAUUCAGAGGAGAGCAGACACGAUUCGAGCCGUUGUUUGAUGUCAGAGCCAUCUGGUGGGGCAGCUCCCCGGCCUAAAGCAGAAGAAAACACGGGGUUUGUUACAAAGAUCCCUUCAGGUUGGAGACUCCAGGGAAUGAAUUGAACACCUGGCCCCUUUCUGCCUCCCUCAGAAUUAAUCAGUCUUUGUACGCAAGAGGGUAGAGCCCAUAGGGCCACAUAAGGGCCCCGCCUUGGGACAGGAAGACGCGAAGAGUAAGAAAACAGAGUACCAAGCUGAGGUUCCCCUCACAUCCUGUGUCACCCAUGAAAGCCGCAGGAGUGGUAAUGGGCAAGUCCAUGAGAAUAAUUAGGCUGAAGAGCAGACUGCAUAAUUGACGUACCCACGUCAGCUCCUGGGUUUUUACUGGCCUUGAGCUAAAGCUCAAACCCCAAAGCCUCACCCCGUCCCCACCUCCAGCACAUUCUGGGUCUCUAAAUAAGCGAGACCUCCUUGCUUCCUUGCUUCUGUUUUCUCUCUUGAAUUCCAUUGCUCCUCUUCAUGACUGGACUGAGUUCUACUUUCCAAGAAGCCCUUGAACUGUUACCUCCUCCGGAAAGCCCUCCCAGAUCCACCUCAGGUGUGGUCCAGUCCACCCUCAGUGAGAACGUGGCUAAUGCCACCCUGCCUAGGAAGUUAUGUUCCCCUCCCAGGGGGCAGCCCACACCAAUGGCCGACUGAUAGGGGGUCCAAAAGCCUGCCCCAGUCUCAGAGACAGCUCAACAGUGUGGUUUGUGCCAGAUGUCCCUGCCCCACGUCCUCCCUCCCCUUUCCUCUCUCACAGGCUUCUUCCUCAAUAAACCUCCUUCACCAGAACCCUUGCCUCAAGCUCUGCAUCCAGAGAACUGGCCUUGCGUGGACAGGAGAGCCCACUGCCAGCCUCCUAUGUGGACGCGCCCUUAGGAUAUGGAGUCUGCGCCAUUACAAAAGAGCAAUUUCACAAACUGGAAACAGCGAACAUGUCCAUCAGCUGGUGACUGGGUUGGACAAUGUGCUGCACGUCUGUCCGUAAAAGGGAGGAAGCUGAGAGUCUGUGGGACAAUACGAGUGAACCUCGGAAACACCACCGAGUGAGAGAAGCCCCUCCCAAGAGACCACGCACUAUUCAAUUCCUUCAUAUAAAACGUCCAGAAAGGUGAACAACAGAGACAGAACGUGGAUUGACUGAGGCUUGGGAGGUGGCAGGGGUCUCAUUCGAGGGGAACGAGCUGUGAGUGGGCAUGAGAUGUUCGUGGGAUGAUGAAAAUGGCACAACUUGGUAAAUUUACUGAAACAUCAUCAAAUUGUAUCCUUGAAAUGGGUGAAGUAUGUAAUAUGAAAUUUACCCCAGUAAUAAAGUUCUUUACAACCUCCCCGAUGGAUGCAGGACGUCCUGGAUGUGAGUCUGUGGACAAGACCACCAACAUUCCCAUUUUUUUAUUUUCCUCAGUGAGAAUCAGGUAAAAUCUUUAGCGUCAAAUAAUCUGGUUUGCAAAAGCAUUAUGAGGUUUUGGGGAUUAAUCAGGCAAAAUAAAAGGUGCUUAUUAUGUGGUGCUUCUUUGGCUAAGACCCGUGGCCAAAGCUCUGGACACAACCAAGAAGUUGUUCCUAUCACCCGUGAGCACAGAUCCUUGUGGGAACAUGGUUUUUUAAAAAAGAUGAUCGCAGUGAGAGAUCCCAGACUGUAUUUCUCUGGAGCAGAUUUCCUCAGACCACCUGCAUCAAAAUCAUAUGGAAAACUUGGUAGAAAUGCAGAUUCCCGGCCCCCGGCCCAGACACUGUAGAUUAGAACCUCUAGGGUGUCCCCUGGAAUCUGCAUUUUCACAGGUGCCUGGGGAUCCUCGGU